RNAcentral lists this ribosomal RNA (386 nucleotides) under uncultured eukaryote. Its description in RNAcentral is "partial 18S ribosomal RNA". It matches the Rfam family "Eukaryotic small subunit ribosomal RNA", at positions 592 to 976 of the family's 1831-position model. The record is from RNAcentral.
CAAUAGCGUAUAUUAAUGUUGUUGCAGUUAAAAAGCUCGUAGUUGGAUUUCUGGUGGAAGCGACCGGUCCGCCCCUCACGGGGUGUGCACUAGCGUCUGUCUUUUGCCAUCCUUGCGAAGAAGCGGUGUGGCAUUAAGUUGUCGCGCCGUCUGACUCGCAUCGUUUACUGUGAAAAAAUUAGAGUGUUUAAAGCAGGCAAUUGCUGUGAAUACAUUAGCAUGGAAUAAUAAGAUAAGACUUUGGUACUAUUUUGUUGGUUUGCAUAUCAAAGUAAUGAUUAACAGGGACAGUUGGGGGUAUUCGUAUUUCGUUGUCAGAGGUGAAAUUCUUGGAUUUAUGAAAGACGAACUACUGCGAAAGCAUUUACCAAGGAUGUUUUCAUUAA